GUUUUAAGUUCUACUCGUAUAUACAUAUGUAAUUGAGCUGUGAAAUUGCACUUAUUUAUUGCCUAUGAAGUAUUCUUAUGGAAGGCAUACACGCACCAAUUUUUGUACCAAUUUCAUCAAAUUGUACAACUAAUUGUUACGUAUGUAUGUAUAUGGGGCAGUUGUAUGAGUUGUACCAACUGAUUGAAUGAAAAUCAAAAUGUUUUCAUAUUUUGCAAGUUGGCUGUGUUAGUUGGAUCGUGUUUGGGUUGGUCGUGCGAUUUCAAACGAUUUCGCCAUUUUAUUUCGGCUGUCGAAGAGAGCGCGUCAUAUGUAAAAAUUACCGUUCCUCUGUGUUCGCUUACAAGAUACAUAAAUGGACUUCGAGAAAAUAGUUUUGAAGAAAGUGAUGAAAAAUGGACAAAAGAAAUUAGUUCUGAUAUGAGUAAUUUAGGUUCCGAGGAUUCUUAUUUGCAAUCCGAUCAUGCUACCAAAUCAGAAAUUGAUGCAGAAGAUGAAGAAAUUGAAAAUCCGCACUGUUGAUAUUCAAGGUACUAUUUGUAUGAUAAAAUUGUAAAAAUAAGGCGGAGAUAUGAAAAUGCAGCCAAUCCC
Molecule: long non-coding RNA, 591 nt
Organism: Bactrocera tryoni
Lineage: Eukaryota; Metazoa; Arthropoda; Insecta; Diptera; Tephritidae
Exons: 3
Source: RefSeq, a predicted model, not a curated record